This 253-nucleotide ribosomal RNA is filed under the name uncultured bacterium. RNAcentral describes it as "partial 16S ribosomal RNA". It matches the Rfam family "Bacterial small subunit ribosomal RNA", at positions 524 to 776 of the family's 1533-position model. The record is from RNAcentral.
UACAGAGGUCUCAAGCGUUGUUCGGAUUCAUUGGGCGUAAAGGGUGCGUAGGUGGCGCCGUAAGUCGGGUGUGAAAUUUCGGAGCUUAACUCCGAAACUGCAUUCGAUACUGCGGUGCUUGAGGACUGGAGAGGAGACUGGAAUUCAUGGUGUAGCAGUGAAAUGCGUAGAGAUCAUGAGGAAAACCAGUGGCGAAGGCGGGUCUCUGGACAGUUCCUGACACUGAGGCACGAAGGCCAGGGGAGCAAACGGG